This 253-nucleotide ribosomal RNA is filed under the name uncultured bacterium. RNAcentral's name for it is "partial 16S ribosomal RNA". It matches the Rfam family "Bacterial small subunit ribosomal RNA", at positions 524 to 776 of the family's 1533-position model. The record is from RNAcentral.
UACGUAGGGGGCAAGCGUUGUCCGGAAUCAUUGGGCGUAAAGAGCGUGUAGGCGGCCAGAAAAGUCCGCUGUGAAAACUCGAGGCUCAACUUCGAGCUGUCGGUGGAAACUUUCUGGCUAGAGUCCGGAAGAGGAGAAUGGAAUUCCUGGUGUAGCGGUGAAAUGCGCAGAUAUCAGGAGGAACACCGGUGGCGAAGGCGGGUCUCUGGGCCGAAAUUGACGCUGAGGAGCGAAAGCGUGGGGAGCAAACAGG